This is a long non-coding RNA of Balaenoptera ricei (Rice's whale), 1563 nucleotides long. RefSeq lists it as uncharacterized. The transcript has 3 exons. NCBI's taxonomy places the organism in Eukaryota, Metazoa, Chordata, Mammalia, Artiodactyla, Balaenopteridae. The record is from RefSeq and is a predicted model, not a curated record.
GAAGCGUGGAGCUCGGAGCCCAUGUCCCUUGAAAGCGUUAAAUUUCUCCUUUCUAAGUUAGUGCUGCGCGGUCCACCUUUCUCCACCUUCCGGUGUGGGCGUCACUACGAACCUUAAAUCCCAGCAGCCGGCCCUCCGCCCCGCGUAAAUCCAGACGUCGCCGUUACAGGAUAGACCUCUAAAGACUCAUGUUGUCUGAGGAAGAAGCCUGGAAGAGGAGGAAGAGGAAAGAACUGGAGUCUGCAAUGGCUCUUUCUCAGGAACAGUUGAUGUUCAAGGAUGUGGCCAUAGAAUUCUCUCAGGAGAAGUGGGAAUGCCUGGACCCUGCUCAGUGGGCCUUGUACAGUGACGUGAUGUUGGAGACCUACAGGAACCUGGUCUCCCUGGGUGAGGAUAACUUCCCUCUAGAAGCUGGGAUCUGCUCUUGGAUAUCUUUGCAUUUUUUCUGUGUGCCUCUUGGGAGCCCCUGUUUUGCUUGACUGAUCUGAAAUCCCUGUUGACUUGGACAUGAAAAGCUCCAGCUUGUGGCAUCAGAGGUUUAAAAUUACCUUUUCCUUUGAUGAUCUGCCCACUUUGUGAUCCAUGAAGGGUUGUUCCAGAACUUAAUGUAUUUAUAAUUCCCAAUGGCAAACUCUUAAUGUACUCAGUUUCCUGUUUUCUACCCAUGCGCUUCCGAUUUAGGAGUUCUAGGUAGUGAGCUUCAUUUGUGCAUAUUAUACUGUUCCUGUGUAUUCAGAAGGAGGCAAGCAGUGGGUGAAUUUUGGAAUUAUUUUUCUAGACCCAUCAGUAAUGUCCUCAAUCCUUAGCUUAACAAAGAACUAGGCUUCUAGAAAAGUCACAGCAAAUUAUGUUUCCUUCCUAUAUGGAGGAAUUUCUAGUUCUCAUCUGAAUGUUUUACCCAUUUUGUAGCAAGAGAAAGAGUGCUGUGUUGUGGAGAGUGAUGUGAAUGUGCUUGGGGAUGUAUCAAAAUGUGAACACAAGUCAUAGCUAAGAAGCGCAGAGGGGAAGCCUGGGUAGUCAUAGUGUUUGUGAAACUCCCCUCAUUGGAUUGAUCUAUGGAGAUACAGAAAUUUACUUACUGUUGUGACUGCUGAGUGUAAAUUUUUCUUCUUUGUAAUUUAUCACUCUGUCCUUCAACAUGUAAAAUGUAUUCUUUCAUCCUCCAUUGGUAGUGCACCUCCUACAGAGAGAAAGGCAAAGUCUUAAUCAUGGUCUGUAACACUGCCCUCCGGCUCCUGUGAACUCCUUGGUGCCUGACUUUGAGGAGCAUGAGGUGGGCUAUUUUAUCAGGGUCUCUUUCCCCUUCAUCUGUCCUUCAGGGCAUGAUUCCAUCGGGUGCUCUGUUUUCCGUCCAUAUAGAGAAGAGCUGAUGCCUCAAGACUCUAAUCCCUGGACCUUUCCCAUUUCUAUCCCCGUUUGAUACUCUUAGAAAACCCAAAGAGAAGAUGGGAAAACACUAGCUGCUCUUUGAUUCCAUCUGGCACCUCCGAACCUGCAUGGAGCUGUUUCAAGCCCUCUCUGGUUAUGUAGAUCCCUCAGACAUUUCUUCUGUUCUGCUUUUGU